CAGGAAACUACAGGAAUCGUCCAGACUCUAGAGUGUGGAGAGACAAGUGAUGACCACAACAGGGACGUUGUGUGAAGGCUGCACGUGCCCUCACCCUACAGACUUGUGGGAUACAACGACACUUUGUCUACAGGACGAGUGGUCAGGAAACUACAACCGGACAAACAUCUUCACAGACACUAGCAUGACAGUCACGUGAUUACUGGCCGUAACCACUCGUCCUCACUGAUGUCUGUAACUUAUUUAGAAACCGGAUAUUAGGCUACAGGAACUAGAGAACACAAUCAGCUACUGUUCACGUUUAUCUUUCUCUCUGUAUGUCGAGGUGGUCGCCUACACACAAUGUUUGAAGACUCGGCUACACAACUAAGAAUAAUCGUGUACAUCACAGUCCUUGUCUUGUUCUCGUCGUUUUAUUACGGGUACAUUGUACUGAGCUGCUUGCUUUACACACACAAUUGUAUUUAGCUCUUAGUUGUUAAUAUACAAGGUCCUAAGUUUAUUUUUGUUUAUUCCUUGUUACUCCUCGGGGAGCACAGGGCCACAACAACACCUCGCCAGUCUUCUGUUUCUGGGAUGUUCUCUCAAUGUAUGCCUGGUGCGAAGACGCUCUUUAAGAACAUGUCUGACAUGAUACAAUGGCGACAUUAUCGCAAGUUUUGAGAGCUAACCCUAAAAGGGACACAACCAGGCGAUGUCAGCAUCCUGACGAGAGCUGCAGUGGUGACGAUGUGCGAUGCUGGCUGAGACUAAAGUCGUCUGCCGCCCUCACAUCACGUGACUCAGGAUGCACUCAGUCCUCGUUUUCCAUAGUCUUCCAUUUUACUGACAGUCGUGCGCUGUUUUCUACCACAGAAUCCUGUCAUUUCUCUCUACCUUCAGCCUUCCGUGUCCUGUCACCAUGCUCUGAUACUUCACACACUGAGUGUGACGUCACAUAAGACAACUGUCAACAAUGUCUGGUCAUCAGCCGUGUGCUCAACAAAAGGGACAGCGCACUAAAGGAAAAGGAAUCAAACAUUAUUUUGGAGGUCGUGGCCGGGUGGAAGUCUACCUACACACCGUGACUGACCAACAGGCUGAGCUACUGACUGACACAGGUCUCAGUCAGUGUCACAAAAGCAGUCUCUGAUGGAUGCUGCACAUGUGCUAAUGGCCAGAGUGGGCACUGUGGACAUAUUGUGGGCUUGCUCUACCAGCUUGCUCAUUUUAAGAUAACAGGAACAAACUAAAUUCCUGAGGUCAUCUUGACAAUGAAGAGGGAUGGUCUGAGACUAUUUCUAGGAUGCUGCAAAAACAUCACUGCCCCAGACAUGGCACAUCUCCAGAGGA
Pomacea canaliculata is the source of this 1332-nucleotide long non-coding RNA. RefSeq lists it as uncharacterized. The transcript is spliced from 5 exons. NCBI's taxonomy places the organism in Eukaryota, Metazoa, Mollusca, Gastropoda, Architaenioglossa, Ampullariidae. The record is from RefSeq and is a predicted model, not a curated record.